AGCAGCCGCGGUAAUUCCAGCUCCAAUAGCGUAUAUUAAAGUUGUUGCAGUUAAAAAGCUCGUAGUUGAAUUUCGGGAUCAAUAUUUCGGUCAUGCCGUUGGUAUGCACUGUUAUCAUUGAUUUCUCACCUUCUAAAGAACCGUAAUGCCAUUAAUUUGGUGUUACGGGGAAUUAGGACUGUUACCUUGAAAAAAUUAGAGUGUUUAAAGCAGGCUCACGCUUGAAUACAUUAGCAUGGAAUAAUGAAAUAGGACAUCCAAUUCUAUUUUGUUGGUUUCUAGGAUCGAUGUAAUGAUUAAUAGGGAUAGUUGGGGGCAUUAGUAUUCAAUUGUCAGAGGUGAAAUUCUUGGAUUUAUUGAAGACUAACUACUGCGAAAGCAUUUGCCAAGGAUGUUUUCAUUAAUCAAGAACAAAAGUUAGGGGAUCGAAGACGAUCAGAUACCGUCGUAGUCUUAACCAUAAACUAUGCCGACUAGGGAUCGGAUGAUGUUAAUUUUUUAAUGACUCA
RNAcentral lists this ribosomal RNA (509 nucleotides) under uncultured Glomus. RNAcentral describes it as "SSU rRNA". It matches the Rfam family "Eukaryotic small subunit ribosomal RNA", at positions 569 to 1078 of the family's 1831-position model. The record is from RNAcentral. Lineage: Eukaryota; Fungi; Glomeromycota; Glomeromycetes; Glomerales; Glomeraceae.